CUGGGUUGCUGGGGGAACCUUGAUCGUGGAAGGAGAGAAGGCUUCAUCCCAAGUCUCCUUUGGUCAGAGGGUAAUCCCGUUCUCCUGCCCCUCUCCACAGCUCUGUCUCUGAGGGGAUGGAGGGUAGCUGUCUGGGGACAGUGCAGGUGAGGUGAGCCAGGACAGGCUCCAUCCAGGACAUGAUGGUCACAUGCAGAGGGACCAGGAAACAGUCAUCUAAAGACGUCCCCCGAGGAGUGCCGAGGCCAGCAAAGCAGGUGUCACGACACCCAUUUCACAGACCAGAAGACCAGAGCCCAAAGAUGGUCCAUCAGCUAUAGAGCUGGGACUAGAACUGUCUUUCUGCCCCCAGCCCGGACUGUGUCCCCACCCUGCCCCCCAUGCAGCUGCCUGUCCCUGCCCACGGGGUUGAAGAGGGAAGGAGAGAGCAUCAGAGCAUCACCUACCAACCCCUCAGCAUCCACAGAUUUGCAGGAUUUCCUCUGCAGCAGGAGGGAUGAGGGCUGGGCAAGAGGAAGGACUGUCCCUCUCCCUCCAGAGCGAGUCGGCGUAGGAGGAGAAGUCAGAGUUGGCGUCCUUCUCGGCCAGAUAGACCAGGAAGGAGGCAAAGAUGAGCACCAGGAAUCCGAUGUACCAGGCGGUGAUCAGCUCCUGCGGUGACAGCAAAGAUGAAAACGUCAGGAGGGCCGAGCCAGAGGGGUAUAAGGAAGCGCCUAAUACUGUGCGUACCUGGGAGAGGGGGGCAGGUGGGAGUUUCCCAGAAUGACCCCGAGAGGUGUUCUGGAGGGGGGAUAAAGGGGCCCCACCGCUUCGAGUUCCCUGGGGGCGGCUGCCCAUCUUUCUUUCCCAGCUCCUCCUUCCAGGGAGACCCUGCCCCGCCUUCCCGACCUCAGGGUACGCCCCCGGCCCCGCCCUUGACCCCCCCCCCCCCCCGCCAGGUUCCAGGUUCCGUCUUCAGUCCCCAGGCCCACCGCCCCUCAACACCCCACACACCCCAACAUCCAGUCCCCCCCACCCGCCCCAGCUCCCCACUUUGCUGUGCACACAGACUCACCUAACCCAGAAGCUUCCGACUGAGCCCCUCAACCCCUUACCCCUCAAGCCCCUCCUCCUGGCCUGCACCUGCCCUCCCCCUGCAGACUGGCCCUUGCCGGGCCUCAGAGAUCGGCCCCUGUGGCCUGGCCCCCGCCGGGCCCACAGUCUCCCCAUCCCUGGGGCUGGACUCGGGCCCUGCCCCACUCCCCACCUCCGGCCCCGGGAGACGUCCCGCCGGCGCACCUUGCUGUGCGCGUAGACCACGGAGCCCAGCAGCUUCCAGGUGCCGCCGCGGCGGUCCAUGCGCACCAUGCGGAGGAUCUGCAGGAAGCGCAUGCUGCGCAGCGCAGACGUGGCGAAGAUGUUGCCCUGCGUGCCCGCGGCGAUGACGGCCACCGAGGCCACGAACACGAUGAAGUCUGCAGGGGCGGGACAGGCGAGCUCACCAAGCCACCGUGCAUCAGGGCCCGCUGAGCGAGGGCCCAGGUCACACAGCACCGGCCCAGCCCAAAGUCCUUGGGUUAGGGGUACCAGGAUUUCCUCAGACCACCUCUCCUGGACGUUCUUACACCUGGCUGGACCGGAGGAGAAUUCCAGAAGGCACGUGGUACCUUCCACAGACUGAAAGCCCCAGUCUGUCUUCCAUUUCCUGUCCACCAGCUGUCUGGUUUUUUCUGAGCUUCACUCUGCCCUCCCCCUCCCAGCUAUCCCAGACUCAGUAACCCUGACUGGGUGACCUAAGGGGUGGCUAUCUGUUAGCUGUCCACUUCCAAGGUGCUUCUGUUUAGAGAGAGAGAGAGAGAAAAAAAAAAAUCACACCAGAGGUUGAGUUAGCAGUUUUGGUCCUGAGAAGGAGUAGGGCUUUUUCAACCUCUUCUCUGAGCCCAACAUCAGCCCUGGCUUAGCGGCAGGAGGUCCCUCAACACUUGCUCUAAAGCAGAUGAUGAAGUCCAGAGAGGGGCAGCCAUCAACUCCGGGAACACAGCAUAGCAAGCCACUCUCUGAGCCACAGUAGGAGAAGCCUCUCUGUCCCUCUACCCUGAACCCCAAGGUGCUACCUUACACAGCCUCGCUCAGACCCGGACUCUGGCACUCACCAAGAUGAGGAGACACUCGUUGGCAAGUUCCUGGUGCUCCUGAAUUGUGGACAGCACGGACAGCACCAGGCAGCUGAAGACCAGCAAAAAUCUGCAAUAGCAGCAUGGAGAGGGUUAGAAUGCUGCACGGACAGGACAGCCGAGGAGCCCCUGGCAGGGGGCUGCGGGGUUGCAGGAGGAUUUGGGAAGAAUUAUCCGGAAGGCAGAAUCAGAAUCAGGGUUCCCUGGAGUUGUGGUUCUGUGCUGGACAAAAAAAGGGAGAAGCCCCAAGGUCUGGGCUACUGAGCUCACAGACACGUUACAGGCCUCUCAGUUCCCUUCAGUGCGGGCUGCAGCCUAGGGAGGUGGUCAUUCCUCUGGGGGGCGGCAGGUCUGUCUGGGCUGGUGGUGGAAACACACCAGCUCAAACUCCCACAGUCAGGAAGCGCCUCCAGGCUCAGCCAUUCACAAGUGGUGCCCUCGGUCUUAAGACUGUCUUAAGAGAAGUAUCUCAGAGGUCAGCUGGGGGCCAGGCACGGUCAGCAGCUGAGGGAGGGGUCUCUGCUCCCUCUGAACUCCAAGGUUGGCAGGAGCAUCGCUCCAUUUGCAGAAUGGGGACAAUUGCCUCUGCCUUCGUGGGCUCUUAGGGAAUUAAUAAUGAGACAACUAUGAAAGGAAAGGGGACUAGGGAGGACAGGGAAGGAGGGAAGGAUUCAGAGUGGGAUAGGGAGGGGAAUCAGGCCUCAUGGAGCCAUGCCAUGGAAGCCUGGAACUCCCCUGAGGGCUGUGGGAAGCCCAGAGAGAGACGUUUAGAAAAGGGAAGAACUUUAUAUGCCAGCUCAGCCAACACUUCCCACAACCCCAACCACACACAUGAGGAAACUGAGGCCCAGACAGGGAAAGGCAUUCACCCAAGG
Molecule: long non-coding RNA, 3028 nt
Organism: Acinonyx jubatus (cheetah)
Lineage: Eukaryota; Metazoa; Chordata; Mammalia; Carnivora; Felidae
Exons: 6
Source: RefSeq, a predicted model, not a curated record